RNAcentral lists this long non-coding RNA (1741 nucleotides) under Homo sapiens (human). RNAcentral describes it as "HSALNT0404641". The record is from RNAcentral. Lineage: Eukaryota; Metazoa; Chordata; Mammalia; Primates; Hominidae.
UGAUGAGUCACGGCUUUUACCAUUUCCAAAAAUACCUGUUUUUUCCUGAACUUUUAGUUCUCUCUACCCUGAUCAGAAAAUUAAAAACAAAACAACAACACUUCGUGGACCAGCCCCGACAGCUGCCGUUCUGUUUUCUCCAGGCCAGCGCUGAGCAGAGCCGAGGUGGGGAGACCUGGGCAGUGCCAGGGCUGGCCCUGCUGCUGCUUCCUGGCUUCUGGACGGGGCUUCCUCUUGGCUCAGGGCCGGGGAAGCCCAGCCUCUGAACAAAGUUAGGGUCAAUAUCUGCAUCCCUGCCCUGGCCAGGCACCGCAUCUCACAUGGGAAAGACCUAUUUGUCCUUAAAUGGGAGAGGAGACGGAAUCCCAGAAGGGGGCAGUGACCCAACUAAGGUCAAAGGGCUGCCCCCGGGAAACCAGCCGCUUCUCAUCCCCAAGGCAGCCUGCCCGCCCUGGAGAGCCCGGGAUCCCCAGAUACUGUCGACGAAAGGGGCAGGGCCUGUGAGCGACGCUGGCCUUAGGCCUGGACUGCAAGGGGUGGCCCUGGCUAGAGAUGGGACUGCACACCCUUCCAGGCACCAUCCUGGGUGCCACCCUAAGGACCAAAUCCCCAGAAGCCAGGUGAGGACAUCGGAGAACCGGGCUGCUCCGUAGCAGACCCAUAGACCCUGAUGCAUGGCUGGGCACCCUGGCCUGUCCCAGAGCCUGCAGAAGGGCGGAAGCCUAGACAAACUCAUCCGCUUCUGCUGUCCCAAGAUGACUUUCAGCCCAGGUCAGCCCAGGUAAGUCCGUGUCCACCAGCUGCCCGGUCUGCUCUGGAGGCAGAGGCUUGCAGUUCCGGGAGACAGACCCGCCACCUGGCAGAGGUUGUGGGAGGCUUGUCACCGUUGGUUGGCCCCCUGGCACCUGCCUCUCCUCCCAGGGAGCAGGGAUGAGUCAGCUCCCUGGCCCUUGGACUUAGGAAGCCUCAGAUGGCUCUGAGAAGGCUCCUCCAGGGCUUCAGAGGCACCCUUAGAGGCUUAGAGUCUCCUGAAGAUGCGAGAUAGGCCUUUGCCCACCAGCCCAUCACAGAGCAGUGGCUCAUGCCUGUAAUCCCAGCAGUUUGGGAGGCUGAGGCGGGCGGAUCACCUGAGGUCAGGUGUUCGAGACCAGCCUGACCAACAUGGUGAAACCCCAUCUCUACUAAAAAUACAAAAGUUAGCCAGACAUGGUGGCAGGUGCCUGUAAUCCCAGCUACUUGGGAGGCUAAAGCAGGAGAAUCGCUGGAACUUGGGAGGUGGAGGUUGUAGUGAGCAGAGAUCACGCCAUUGCACUCCAGCCUGGGCGACAAGAGCAAAACUUCAUCUCAAAACAAACAAACAAAAAGGUAGAGGAAGGGAGAAUUAUCUCUCUGCCUGACUGCUUGAGAGGUGGCACCUUCUCCUGUCCUCCAGCUGGGACUUGAACCCACAGCCCCACUCAUGUGCAGGCCUUCAACUCAAACUGGAACCACAACACCGGCUCUCCUAGGUCUCUGGCUUGCAGAUGGCAGAUCGUGAGGCUUUUCAGCUUCCAAAAUCAUGUGAGCCAACUCCUCAGAAUAAACUUCUCUCUUUCUCUCAUGUAACCACACACAUAUAAACAUGCAUGUGCGUGUUUUCCUGCCCUCUCAUCUCUGCUCCGUUGACUUAUUUCGCUAUUCCUGCUUCAUUUACUCUAGUUUUCUUAGGCAUGUCCAUUAACGCAGCUUGUCCUUCUUCGCU